GUAGACACUGGAGACUGGGCUAGAAUAACUCAAAUACAGUCCCUUCUCUGAUGGCUGAGUAGUUUGAACUUUGGAGACUUAAUCUUCUGGACAAGAGUAGUUUUUUCCAGUAACGCAUGGCCUGGGUUUCUCUGUUAAUUGCAGGGUGCCAAAGUUAGGAGGCGAAAUGAUUGGGACGAAUGGUUGAUUCCUCUAGAGAGUAACGUUUGUAUUCCGUCAAGCUCUGCAGCUGUGCCAGGUCCCAUUGUCAAUAAUCUGACAGCACACCUUGGAGGUGUGGUUCUGGUAUUGUUAGUAAGACCGUACAUGAUUUGGUGUACAAUUACUCUUCCAAGGCUAUACUAAUAGAUAAUCCUGGUCAUUCUCUAAUUUUUCCUAUCGUGGAUCACCCAGUACAAAGUGAUGGUAAUGAGGAUAUUUGUCGGAACCGAAAAAAGUUGUAGUGCUUCAUCCUGGCUACCAAGAGAGAAUGGGCUGAAAAGGCAUUGGUUGCAGAUGAAGGAAAAUAAAGAGUCAUUGAUUUAUUCCUAUGGUCGGUAGCGCUAUAUACACCGGAUUGGGCCAAG
Molecule: long non-coding RNA, 566 nt
Filed under: Triticum aestivum (bread wheat)
Lineage: Eukaryota; Viridiplantae; Streptophyta; Magnoliopsida; Poales; Poaceae
Description: long non-coding RNA (TAES_LNC002716)
Source: RNAcentral